RNAcentral lists this transfer RNA (68 nucleotides) under Hyalinobatrachium fleischmanni (northern glassfrog). Its description in RNAcentral is "tRNA-Arg". It matches the Rfam family "tRNA". From Rfam's summary of the family: Transfer RNA (tRNA) molecules are approximately 80 nucleotides in length. Their secondary structure includes four short double-helical elements and three loops (D, anti-codon, and T loops). The record is from RNAcentral. Lineage: Eukaryota; Metazoa; Chordata; Amphibia; Anura; Centrolenidae.
AAAGUAUUAGUCCAAAAAGACAGUUGAUUUCGACUCAACAGAUUAUGGUUCAACCCCAUAAUACUUUU